GAUGAACGCUGACAGAAUGCUUAACACAUGCAAGUCAACUUGAACUUCGGUUUGGGUGGCGGACGGGUGAGUAACGCGUAAAGAACUUGCCUCACAGCUAGGGACAACAUUUGGAAACGAAUGCUAAUACCUGAUAUUAUGAUUUUAGGGCAUCCUAGAAUUAUGAAAGCUAUAUGCGCUGUGAGAGAGCUUUGCGUCCCAUUAGCUAGUUGGAGAGGUAACGGCUCACCAAGGCGAUGAUGAGUAGCCGGCCUGAGAGGGUGAACGGCCACAAGGGGACUGAGACACGGCCCUUACUCCUACGGGAGGCAGCAGUGGGGAAUAUUGGACAAUGGACCAAGAGUCUGAUCCAGCAAUUCUGUGUGCACGAUGAAGUUUUUCGGAAUGUAAAGUGCUUUCAGUUGGGAAGAAAAAAAUGACGGUACCAACAGAAGAAGUGACGGCUAAAUACGUG
Molecule: ribosomal RNA, 454 nt
Filed under: uncultured bacterium
Lineage: Bacteria
Description: partial 16S ribosomal RNA
Rfam family: Bacterial small subunit ribosomal RNA
Source: RNAcentral